UGCCAGCCGCCGCGGUAAUACGAAGGGACCUAGCGUAGUUCGGAAUUACUGGGCUUAAAGAGUUCGUAGGCUGUAAUAAGGUACUUUGUGAAAUCCCACGGCUCAACCGUGGAAUAGCUUGGUAAACCAUAUGUCUUGAGGCAGGUAGGGGUGGUCGGAACGAUAGGUGGAGCGGUGAAAUGCGUAGAUAUCUAUCGGAACGCCAACGGAGAAGUCAGGCCACUGGGCCUGUCCUGACGCUGAGACACGAAAGCAUGGGUAGCGGACGGGAUUAGAUA
Molecule: ribosomal RNA, 278 nt
Filed under: uncultured bacterium
Lineage: Bacteria
Description: partial 16S ribosomal RNA
Rfam family: Bacterial small subunit ribosomal RNA
Source: RNAcentral